This 213-nucleotide long non-coding RNA is filed under the name Mytilus galloprovincialis (Mediterranean mussel). The record is from RNAcentral. Lineage: Eukaryota; Metazoa; Mollusca; Bivalvia; Mytilida; Mytilidae.
CUUUACUUCAAUCUCCUCUUGCCAAGAGUUACGAUCCAGUCCCGCCUUUAGGAGAGGACUAGAUCGUAACAAUUGGCUGUCGAGAGGACAAGAUCGAAACACAUGGCUAUCGAGAGGACUAGAUCGUAACACAUGGCUAUCUCAGGAGGACAAAAUCUUAACCAUUAGCUAGCAAAGAUACUUUACUUCAAAUACGACCUGGAUGAAUGGCAC